GCGCUCGUAGCUCAGUCGGUAGAGCAUCUGACUUUUAAUCAGAGGGCCCGGGAUUCGAGUUCCCGCGAGCGCACCA
This 76-nucleotide transfer RNA is filed under the name Faecalibacterium sp. An122. Its description in RNAcentral is "tRNA-Lys". It matches the Rfam family "tRNA". From Rfam's summary of the family: Transfer RNA (tRNA) molecules are approximately 80 nucleotides in length. Lineage: Bacteria; Bacillati; Bacillota; Clostridia; Eubacteriales; Oscillospiraceae. The record is from RNAcentral. RNAcentral also lists the same sequence under 1 other name.